GGAGUUGCGGCUCAGCGGUAGAGCGCUCGCCUAACGUGUGGGAGACUCUGAGUUCGAUCCUCAGCACUGCA
This 71-nucleotide transfer RNA is filed under the name Marmota monax (woodchuck). RNAcentral's name for it is "tRNA.Val". The stretch from base 6 to 66 matches the Rfam family "tRNA", at positions 6 to 65 of the family's 71-position model. Rfam says of the family: Transfer RNA (tRNA) molecules are approximately 80 nucleotides in length. Lineage: Eukaryota; Metazoa; Chordata; Mammalia; Rodentia; Sciuridae. The record is from RNAcentral.